GAGAGAGCGAUAACAGGGAAGGAGCAGAGAAGAUUGCAUUUUAGAAUUACUGGCCAACACCUAACAAUUUAUGCCCUCAUGCAGUGCUUGGCAGCAGCUGGAGACUCCAAAGCCUGCGGUGAAUGCCCGCUGUUCCGCUUGUGUAUAAACACAGGCCUCAUCAUCCCUUGCGUUAUCUGCUGUGCGCCUGGCUUCAGCGGGGCGGAGGAGAGACCACACAGCGAGGGCCACAAAAAUUAAACCAUCUACAAUGCCAUCGCCAGGCUCGGAAUAUGAAGGGGAGGAAAGAAAUGAAGGUGACAUUUGAAAGAGAGAGGGAGAGAGAGCGCCAUACCGCCGGGUGAAGGAGGGAGCGAAGGGGGUGGGGGGGAUUUAAUAGGUCCCUGAGACACGAAGGGUGUGAGAUGAGAUGAUGAAACUGCAGGAUAGAGAAGAGCAGAGAGGAAGAUUGUGUGUCAAAAUGUGGAUGUUUGGAGAUUGGGCUUCCUACUCUGCCAAAUGAUUAAAAUGUUCCAUCUGACAUUCAUAUUCCACUAUAGGAGUUGUCUUGCCUAUGAAACAACCACUGCCUGGAAUAUGAAUUGAGGCUGCUUUUUUAGACGUGUAUGUGGCAAAUGUGGAUACAACUUGAGGAUGGCAAAUGUUUGGGGUAAAUGUUUUUUGCACUGAGCAAUUGAAUUAAAAAAUCAUUUUAUCAA
Long non-coding RNA from Syngnathoides biaculeatus (alligator pipefish), 698 nucleotides. RefSeq lists it as uncharacterized. NCBI's taxonomy places the organism in Eukaryota, Metazoa, Chordata, Actinopteri, Syngnathiformes, Syngnathidae. The transcript is spliced from 2 exons. The record is from RefSeq and is a predicted model, not a curated record.